UCAAUCUGAUACAAGGUUUGGGGUACAAGGGAUUUGACGCCUCAUCUUCUUCAUUCGUUCGUCAAAUCAAGUAUAGGAACAGAGGGAGCGACGAACAAACGGAACAACGAGAAGGGUCCAAUCUCUGGCGAUGGCUGGUACGUUGGGAGGAGGAAUCGAUCUCCGGCGAGCCUCAUUUGGAUUGGUUUAAUCUCCACUGGCAAUGAUCCAAGAAAAAGGAAGCAAGGUCAACGGUAGAAGUUGUGGUUAACAACAAUGGUGGCGAUAGGCGGCUCCGGCUGUUACUCAUCGCCUUGUCUCUUCUGAUUUUGGCAAGUAACACAAAGGGAAGAUGGAGGUGCGGAUCAGAACUGGGACAACAUUUGGUGUGGGUUUCUUUUGAGUUGUUUGAUUGAUAGGAAGAACGAGGGAGGAUGGGUGUGGGUUUCUCCGGCGACGAAUCGUAUCAGCGAUCAGUCUCUAGCGAGUCCUCGUGUUUCUUCUUUUCUGUCCCGAUCGACAAUCACGAUGUUUCCCCAUUGCUUUGGCAGUUCUGAUCAACAAUAGAAAUCGAUAUAGGAGAAGGAUGUUUGGGUUUGAGCUUCUUUGACAGGAGGAGGGGCUACUGCUCCUUAGCUCACCAGGAAAUCACAAGAAAACCACCUCCAAUGGAGGUGUUCUUGGCUAUGCAUCGAAACAGAAAGAUGGGAGAGAAAGAGUGAGUUUGUGAAUGAUUGUGUGACUUUCCUAUGUGAUAAAAAGCAGAUAUUUAGAAGCUCUUGAGAUCUCUGAAGUACUUGGAAAUCUCUGAAGGAUUAUGUAGGGAGAUAGAACGUGUGAGAGGGGGUGAUGGAUAUGGAGAUAUUGAGUAUAUUACUUGAGAUCUUUGUAGGAUUUUGUAAGUACACAACAAAUAUCGUAGAUUUUAUGUGGGUUAUACGCACAUGUAUAAGUGACCGAGUAUUUAAAACAUAUAUCAUUCAUGUAUUUGGUUAUACAAA
This is a non-coding RNA of Lactuca sativa (garden lettuce), 980 nucleotides long. The record is from RefSeq and is a predicted model, not a curated record. Lineage: Eukaryota; Viridiplantae; Streptophyta; Magnoliopsida; Asterales; Asteraceae.